Molecule: ribosomal RNA, 253 nt
Filed under: uncultured bacterium
Lineage: Bacteria
Description: partial 16S ribosomal RNA
Rfam family: Bacterial small subunit ribosomal RNA
Source: RNAcentral
UACGUAGGGUGCAAGCGUUAAUCGGAAUUACUGGGCGUAAAGCGUGCGCAGGCGGUUUGCUAAGACAGGUGUGAAAUCCCCGGGCUUAACCUGGGAACUGCGCUUGUUACUGGCAAGCUGGAGUGUGGCAGAGGGGGGUGGAAUUCCACGUGUAGCAGUGAAAUGCGUAGAGAUGUGGAGGAACACCGAUGGCGAAGGCAGCCCCCUGGGCUAACACUGACGCUCAUGCACGAAAGCGUGGGGAGCAAACAGG